GGAGUUGUCGGGAAACUGGGCAUGCGCAGAGAACACCGGGCGCAAGGACUGCUCUGGGAGGACGCCGAAGUCAACAAGGCUAGGGGGACGCCCCCAUCCGGCUCCGCCCCCACAGGGAUUGCUCCGCCCCCACGCCCAAACAACGCGAGGUUCUGAGGAGACCUGGGGACCGACAACUUUUGGGAGAGAUCGCGCGAGAACAGGGCCUCAACCUCCCCGCCCCCUACCCCGCGUCCUUACGCUGGGGUACCGAAGAGCCGCUGAGAGGCCGUCACCCGUGGCGGAGUGCACUUGAGAUCCUGAGAGAUGGAAACCAUUACCCUCAAUUGGUCAACAGAAAGAGGCUUUGUACAUCCACAGAUGCUGCAAGUACAAUUCUAUCUCCUUGGUCAAAGGCCCAGAGGACGAUGGAAUGCCAGCUUAUUGAAGAAGAAACACUAAGAAUGCGCACAAACAGAGGAAAGGCUGAAUGAGGACAUAGUAAGAAAACAUCCACAAGCCAAAAAUCAAACCUCUUGGACACCUUGAUCUUGGACUUCCAGCCUCCAAAAUUGUGAGGAAAUACAUUUCUGUUGUUAAGCUACCUGUGGAAUUUUUGUUAUAGCAAACUAAUAAAACAACUGUGAUAAUUUUGCCUUUUUACAUUAACAUUUUCCUCCAUUAUUGGUGGGCUAACAUUUUCUCAUUUCCUCCUACUACCACCAAAACAAACCCAACCAAAUCAAACCAAACAAAAUAAGAGAAAUCAUACCGUUUUUCCCCAGCCUGCAGUGGAAGUGGUGAGCUACUGAAGUGGUGAGAAGCAUUUCUACUUUUAGAUGGUUUUCUGCAUCUUUUGGGGCUAACCCCCCAAGGAGCCAAACCCAUUGGACCUCUCUUCUGAAAAUUUGGUAGUAUUAUCAAGAUUUUUGAAGUUUUGUUAACUCUCUUUGUUAAUUGUACACACAUUAUUUCGAUGGGUUAGAAAACAAGCGUAUGAUGUACUCAAAGUCUUUAGUAUCUUUUGAUUUUCUUUCUAUAAUAUUCUCUUUUCAAGAUAAUAAAUUGUGUCCUUAAUUAAGCUGUGCCCCUUCCUUUGUAGGAGAAUCUUGCAUAGUUUUAAGCACUUUUAAGUUUUGAUGUUAUUUAUAUUGUCCAAUUUCAGAAAACUAUAUCUUGUGUUUCAGCUUCGUUCUGCUAUUAUUUCAUUAUUUCAUUCUGCCUUCUUGUUUCAUAGGAGCCUCUUGAAUAAGAGAAAGAUUGUGUAAAUUUGGGGUCUGUCAGCCUACUUCUUGAGACCUAUCCCAGGAGGCUUUGAUAUUACCUGAAGCAAACCCAGGGUUUCCUAAAACUCAGCUUCUGUGUUUCGGACAGUGCUCUGGUAGAAGUGUCAUAAGAUCCCUGUCUCCAACCGUAUAAGCUAAUAUCAAGAAACGUGUGACCUUAUGAAAACACACUUCUGAUGGGCACAGUAGCAUAAGCUACCUCUCCAUGAUUCAAAUUUUAUAAUUGGAAUUAACAGUCCAAAAGUGGCAUUGGUGCUAAAUAGCACAAUUGUGCCAUCUGUUUCAAUGCCAUAGUUUUGGGGAUUUCUACAUGGUAUAUUGAAAGAUUAUUUUAAGAGGUGCAGUUUAUGAUGAAACCUUCUAAUAGUGCCUCUUUACUAAACCAACUUGAUAUUUAUAAAUGCCUGGGAUGGGGGGAAGCUACUGAAAUUGUAUCACUACCUUCAGAAAGAUUUUUAAAGGGCUUGUUUAAUAUUAAUGUAGUGUACAAUUACUUUUGAGCUCUUGCCAAGAGUGCCAGGAUAAUAUAGGAUAUGAAUAUCCCAGUGUGCCUGAAAAUUAUUUUAAUUUACAAAACCCUACUCAAGCUGCUCUUUGUAGAUUUUAAACUUGAGGGCAGAUUUUGUAAAGGAGCAGAAUAUUUGCAAAACUAUGCAAAUAUGCAUCAGAAUGUAGCCUCAGGCUUAUAGCACGUAAAAACACCUGAGAUCUUAUGGUCCAGAGGGAGACAUUACAUAAUAUUCAAAAUGACAAGAUGCUUCCAGGACUCACAGGUUUUGCAGAAGAGUUCAAAAAUGGCUAUAAGAAGGGGUGGCAUGUUGCCUAAACAGCUCUUCUUCAUGGGGUCCUCACACAUUCGCCUUUUCUCUUGGUCUCUGUGUUACUCAAUUUCUCUCUCCUGGUCUAACAUUUAACUCAGCUGCAAAAAACCCCAGCUUUCUUUAUUCUCCCUCUCUUUCCAGAUUAUACCUUGGAGACUUUAUCUUUUCCCUAAAAAGUAUAUUUUCCUAAGCUAAGAGUCACCUAUUCUGAGAUGAAUUAUGUAUCUUCCAUAGUGUCAAAACACUAAACAUUUUUAACAUAGCACUACAACAUAUCAUAUUCUCAUGCUUAAUGGUAUGUUUUUGUUAAAAUUAUACAAAAAUACAAAUUAUUAUUAGACUAAAAGGAGAUAGGAUAAUAUUUAAUAUAUACAUAAGUGAAGCUUUAAUUGAAAACUCUGAACUGGAGCCUAGAGUAUCUUUGUUAAAGAUCUUUUGGAUAUUUUGUAUAGGGGCAGCAGAAGUUCAGUUUUCUCUGAAGUCCUACCACCGAUUGGAUGAUUCAUGCAAUAAGAAUUUAUUCUAACACUAAUUUAAAAACAACCCACCAGAGUUUCUAUUCAUGGAAUAGAAAAUAAGUACAUUCUUUGUGGAGUUAUGUAAAUUUCUUAAAGCAGUACCUAUGAUGAGUAGAUGAAUAGAAAUUUUACUGUUAAUAAUUAGUGCAAUUUUUUAUUGGAAAUAUUUUCUUUUCAUGGAAGUUUUGGACAAAACGAAAGAAAAAUUGAAUAGGAGCUUGGCAAAUAACAUAAUGUUAUAUCUAACCAAUAAAAUAUGUA
Mustela lutreola (European mink) is the source of this 2865-nucleotide long non-coding RNA. RefSeq lists it as uncharacterized. The transcript has 5 exons. NCBI's taxonomy places the organism in Eukaryota, Metazoa, Chordata, Mammalia, Carnivora, Mustelidae. The record is from RefSeq and is a predicted model, not a curated record.